Molecule: long non-coding RNA, 427 nt
Filed under: Musa acuminata (dwarf banana)
Lineage: Eukaryota; Viridiplantae; Streptophyta; Magnoliopsida; Zingiberales; Musaceae
Description: long non-coding RNA (MACU_LNC008361)
Source: RNAcentral
CCAAACACACAUUUGAGGUCACUAAGAAAACAUUCAGAUCAAAAUUUCACCUCUAUAGUCUACAAAUUUAUAACCCUGUGCAAUUCAUAAACAUACCACACAUCACUCGAUAAUUCAUACAAUCUAAACUCAACUCAUCAAAAUAAUAACCACAACAUAAAUUCACAAGUGGGGAAGUCUAUGCAGUCACCAAACCAACGAUUACCAUAAGUUCAUAUCAUUACAUGAAUUUAACUUAACAUUCCAAAAUCCUAAACAUGAGGGAUCCUUUAACUUACACAAAAUCCAGAGGUUUAGAUUCAUCGUCAACAUUUCAUUAGAUGCAGAGUGGCUUAUACAACAAAUACAUAUAUGCUAAUAAAGAUCUGCCCAAAAUCUUCUAACUUUCCACUGCCUCAGCCCAAACUUAACAUUUAAGCAAGCGAUA